RNAcentral lists this ribosomal RNA (272 nucleotides) under uncultured bacterium. Its description in RNAcentral is "partial 16S ribosomal RNA". It matches the Rfam family "Bacterial small subunit ribosomal RNA", at positions 32 to 283 of the family's 1533-position model. The record is from RNAcentral.
AAUCAACGCUGGCGGCGUGCCUCAGACAUGCAAGUCGAACGCGAAAGUCCCCUUCGGGGGACAAGUAGAGUGGCGCACGGGUGAGUAACACGUAGGUAAUCUACCUUCAGAUGGGGAAUAACAACCGGAAACGGUUGCUAAUACCGCAUAAUGCAGCGGCACCUAAUGGUGACAGUUGUUAAAGCGGGGGAGUCGAAAGACCUCGCGUCUGAAGAGGAGCCUGCGGCGGAUUAGCAGUUGGUAAGGUAAUGGCUUACCAAGGCGACGAUCCG